Molecule: small nuclear RNA, 107 nt
Organism: Kogia breviceps (pygmy sperm whale)
Lineage: Eukaryota; Metazoa; Chordata; Mammalia; Artiodactyla; Physeteridae
Source: RefSeq, a predicted model, not a curated record
AUGCUUGCUUCGGCAGCACAUACACUAAAAUUGGAAUUAUACAGAGAAGAUAAGCAUGGCCUCUGCGCAAGGAUGACACGCAAAUCCAUGAAGCGUUCCAUAUUUUU